Neltuma alba is the source of this 79-nucleotide small nucleolar RNA. RefSeq annotates it as small nucleolar RNA R160. The transcript has a single exon. The record is from RefSeq and is a predicted model, not a curated record. Lineage: Eukaryota; Viridiplantae; Streptophyta; Magnoliopsida; Fabales; Fabaceae.
AGCAAAAUGAUGAGGAUUUUUAUGUCUGAAUGUGAUGUGGAAUACUUGAUCCAUUAGCCUUCAAAGUUCUCUGAUUGCU